RNAcentral lists this ribosomal RNA (514 nucleotides) under uncultured bacterium. RNAcentral describes it as "partial 16S ribosomal RNA". It matches the Rfam family "Bacterial small subunit ribosomal RNA", at positions 28 to 523 of the family's 1533-position model. The record is from RNAcentral.
GACGAACGCUGGCGGCAUGCCUAAUACAUGCAAGUCGAGCGAACAGAUGAAGUGCUUGCACUUCUGACGUUAGCGGCGAACGGGUGAGUAACACGUAAGGAAUCUACCUAUAAGCGGGGGAUAACAUUCGGAAACGGGUGCUAAUACCGCAUAAUAUCUUCUUCCGCACGGAAGAAGAUUGAAAGACGGCUCUGCUGUCACUUAUAGAUGACCUUGCGGUGCAUUAGUUAGUGGGUGGGGUAACGGCCUACCAAGACGAUGAUGCAUAGCCGACCUGAGGGGGUGAUCGGCCACAUUGGGACUGCGACACGGUCCAUACUCCUACGGGAGGCAGCAGUGAGGAAUCUUCCGCAAUGGGCGAAAGCCUGACGGAGCGACACCGCGUGAGUGAUGAAGGCUUUCGGGUCGUAAAACUCUGUUGUUAGGGAAGAACAAGUGCUAGUUGAAUAAGCUGGCACCUUGACGGUACCUAACCAGAAAGCCACGGCUAACUACGUGCCAGCAGCCGCCGUAA